GUAGGUGGCAAGCGUUGUCCGGAAUUAUUGGGCGUAAAGCGCGCGCAGGCGGUCCUUUAAGUCUGAUGUGAAAGCCCACGGCUCAACCGUGGAGGGUCAUUGGAAACUGGGGGACUUGAGUACAGAAGAGGACAGCGGAAUUCCAAGUGUAGCGGUGAAAUGCGUAGAGAUUUGGAGGAACACCAGUGGCGAAGGCGGCUUUCUGGUCUGUAACUGACGCUGAGGCGCGAAAGCGUGGGGAGCAAACAGGGAUUAGAUACCCUGGUAGUCCACGCCGUAAACGAUGAGUGCUAAGUGUUAGGGGGUUUCCGCCCCCUUAGUGCUGCAGCUAACGCAUUAAGCACUCCGCCUGGGGAUACGGCCGCAAGGCUG
Molecule: ribosomal RNA, 372 nt
Filed under: uncultured organism
Description: partial 16S ribosomal RNA
Rfam family: Bacterial small subunit ribosomal RNA
Source: RNAcentral